This 858-nucleotide ribosomal RNA is filed under the name Burkholderia sp. AR8(11). RNAcentral describes it as "bacterial SSU rRNA". It matches the Rfam family "Bacterial small subunit ribosomal RNA", at positions 53 to 908 of the family's 1533-position model. The record is from RNAcentral. Lineage: Bacteria; Pseudomonadati; Pseudomonadota; Betaproteobacteria; Burkholderiales; Burkholderiaceae.
CCAUGCAGUCGAACGGCAGCACGGGAGCAAUCCUGGUGGCGAGUGGCGAACGGGUGAGUAAUACAUCGGAACGUGUCCUGUAGUGGGGGAUAGCCCGGCGAAAGCCGGAUUAAUACCGCAUACGCUCUACGGAGGAAAGGGGGGGAUCUUAGGACCUCCCGCUACAGGGGCGGCCGAUGGCAGAUUAGCUAGUUGGUGGGGUAAAGGCCUACCAAGGCGACGAUCUGUAGCUGGUCUGAGAGGACGACCAGCCACACUGGGACUGAGACACGGCCCAAACUCCUACGGGAGGCAGCAGUGGGGAAUUUUGGACAAUGGGCGCAAGCCUGAUCCAGCAAUGCCGCGUGUGUGAAGAAGGCCUUCGGGUUGUAAAGCACUUUUGUCCGGAAAGAAAACCUCGGGGCUAAUACCUCUGGGGGAUGACGGUACCGGAAAAAUAAGCACCGGCUAACUACGUGCCAGCAGCCGCGGUAAUACGUAGGGUGCAAGCGUUAAUCGGAAUUACUGGGCGUAAAGCGUGCGCAGGCGGUCCGCUAAAACAGAUGUGAAAUCCCCGGGCUUAACCUGGGAACUGCAUUUGUGACUGGCGGGCUAGAGUAUGGCAAAGGGGGGUAGAAUUCCACGUGUAGCAGUGAAAUGCGUAGAGAUGUGGAGGAAUACCGAUGGCGAAGGCAGCCCCCUGGGCCAAUACUGACGCUCAUGCACGAAAGCGUGGGGAGCAAACAGGAUUAGAUACCCUGGUAGUCCACGCCCUAAACGAUGUCAACUAGUUGUCGGGUCUUCAUUGACUUGGUAACGUAGCUAACGCGUGAAGUUGACCGCCUGGGGAGUACGGUCGCAAGAUUAAAACUCAAGAGA